RNAcentral lists this ribosomal RNA (457 nucleotides) under uncultured bacterium. RNAcentral's name for it is "bacterial SSU rRNA". It matches the Rfam family "Bacterial small subunit ribosomal RNA", at positions 343 to 797 of the family's 1533-position model. The record is from RNAcentral.
CGGAGGCAGCAGUAAGGAAUAUUGGACAAUGGGCGCAAGCCUGAUCCAGCCAUGCCGCGUGCAGGAUGACGGUCCUAUGGAUUGUAAACUGCUUUUAUACGAGAAGAAACACUGGUUCGUGAACCAGCUUGACGGUAUCGUAAGAAUAAGGAUCGGCUAACUCCGUGCCAGCAGCCGCGGUAAUACGGAGGAUCCAAGCGUUAUCCGGAAUCAUUGGGUUUAAAGGGUCCGUAGGCGGUCAGAUAAGUCAGUGGUGAAAGCCCAUCGCUCAACGGUGGAACGGCCAUUGAUACUGUCUGACUUGAGUUAUUAGGAAGUAACUAGAAUAUGUAGUGUAGCGGUGAAAUGCUUAGAGAUUACAUGGAAUACCAAUUGCGAAGGCAGGUUACUACUAAUGGAUUGACGCUGAUGGACGAAAGCGUGGGUAGCGAACAGGAUUAGAAACCCUUGUAGUCCC